Molecule: ribosomal RNA, 272 nt
Filed under: uncultured bacterium
Lineage: Bacteria
Description: partial 16S ribosomal RNA
Rfam family: Bacterial small subunit ribosomal RNA
Source: RNAcentral
GAUCAUGGCUUAGGACGAACGCUGGCGGCGUGCCUAACACAUGCAAGUCGAACGGAGAUAAAGAUUUCGGUUUUUAUCUUAGUGGCGCACGGGUGAGUAACACGUGAAUAACCUGACCCAAAGAGGGGGGAUAACACCUGGAAACAGGUGCUAAUACCGCAUAAGACCACAAUGUCGCAUGACGAAGGGGUCAAAGAAAAUCGCUUUGGGAGGGGUUCGCGUCCCAUUAGGUAGUAGGCGGGGUAACGGCCCACCUAGCCGACGAUGGGUAG